CCUACGGGAGGCAGCAGUGAGGAAUAUUGGUCAAUGGGCGCAAGUCUGAACCAGCCAAGUAGCGUGAAGGAUGACUGCCCUAUGGGUUGUAAACUUCUUUUAUAUGGGAAUAAACUGCAGUACGUAUACCGCUUUGCAUGUACCUUAUGAAUAAGGAUCGGCUAACUCCGUGCCAGCAGCCGCGGUAAUACGGAGGAUUCGAGCGUUAUCCGGAUUUAUUGGGUUUAAAGGGAGCGUAGGGGGUUUGUUAAGUCAGUUGUGAAAGUUUGCGGCUCAACCUUAAAAUUGCAGUUGAUACUGGCAUCCUUGAGUACAGUUGAGGUAGGCGGAAUUCGUGGUGUAGCGGUGAAAUGCUUAGAUAUCACGAAGAACUCCGAUUGCGAAGGCAGCCUGCUGGACUGUAUCUGACGCUGAUGCUCGAAAGUGUGGGUAUCAAACAGGAUUAGAUACCCGAGUAGUC
Molecule: ribosomal RNA, 460 nt
Filed under: uncultured bacterium
Lineage: Bacteria
Description: partial 16S ribosomal RNA
Rfam family: Bacterial small subunit ribosomal RNA
Source: RNAcentral